This is a long non-coding RNA of Gopherus evgoodei (Goodes thornscrub tortoise), 117 nucleotides long. RefSeq lists it as uncharacterized. Lineage: Eukaryota; Metazoa; Chordata; Testudines; Testudinidae. The record is from RefSeq and is a predicted model, not a curated record. The transcript has 3 exons.
UACUGCUUCCGACCCAUCCCUAAGGCUUGUUAUGCUAUUAAACAAAGCUAUUAGGUUGGAGUUGAUAAAAUUUGUUCUUGACAAAUCCAUGUUGACUGUUACUCAUCACCUUAUUAU